This 433-nucleotide ribosomal RNA is filed under the name uncultured bacterium. Its description in RNAcentral is "partial 16S ribosomal RNA". It matches the Rfam family "Bacterial small subunit ribosomal RNA", at positions 29 to 507 of the family's 1533-position model. The record is from RNAcentral.
AACGAACGCUGGCGGCAUGCCUAACACAUGCAAGUCGAACGAGACCUUCGGGUCUAGUGGCGCACGGGUGCGUAACGCGUGGGAACCUGCCCUUAGGUUCGGAAUAACUCCCCGAAAGGGGUGCUAAUACCGGAUAAUGUCUUCGGACCAAAGAUUUAUCGCCUUUGGAUGGGCCCGCGUUGGAUUAGCUAGUUGGUAGGGUAAACGCCUACCAAGGCGACGAUCCAUAGCUGGUCUGAGAGGAUGAUCAGCAACACUGGGACUGAGACACGGCCCAGACUCCUACGGGAGGCAGCAGUGGGGAAUAUUGGACAAUGGGCGAAAGACUGAUCCAGCAAUGCCGCGUGAGUGAUGAAGGCGUUAGGGUUGUAAAGCUCUUUUACCCGGGAUGAUAAUGACAGUACCGGGAGAAUAAGCGCCGGCUAACUCCGUG